Molecule: long non-coding RNA, 2208 nt
Organism: Carlito syrichta (Philippine tarsier)
Lineage: Eukaryota; Metazoa; Chordata; Mammalia; Primates; Tarsiidae
Exons: 3
Source: RefSeq, a predicted model, not a curated record
CCACGCGGGCCCCCAAGUCCCACGUCCACCUCCCGCUGCCUCGACCCCCGCCCGGCUACCCUACGCGGGCGCUCUCUGUUGCAACUUUGUUUUGAUGAUCUGGAUCAGAGAAUGGUUUCCACAGAAAUUAGUUUUAGGAUCAUUUGUAGGCUUUCUCUAAACUUGUCAUGGUGUUCUUAUUUGCUAUCUAGUGUCAUCCCAAGUAAUUAAAAUGUUAAAAUUUUAGCACAAAUUUUACUAUUCAUCUUUAUAUUGUGCAACACCAGCUUUAAAUGCAAAUAUAAGUUCAUUUAACUCAUAUGGAAUCACCAAAAUUUCACAAUUCAUAUUUUGUGACUUGUCCAUGAAUGUGCAUUUUGUUCUUAGCAGGACAAAAUUAUGCUUUUAAAUGAACAAAAUUAACUCUUAAAAUUUUGCUUCUUGAUACAUGCACAAUCUACCUAUACUCUGUGGAAGCUGGUAGCUUCCAAAAUGCACUACCUUGUCUUUGCUUUGAGUCUCAUUGAACUUCCACUAGAAUAUGGUGCAUGACUAAUGCUAUAUGCAAAUUGGGUGGCAAAGAAUGGUAGUGGACACACAUAUUAUGUGUAUCUGCUCAUACACAUACCCCAUUGCCCCACUGGAUUCACUUCUUAAAACAAAGGUUCAAAGAUAAAAUUAUAAAGGAUAUCAACAUGGCAACAGCAGAGCUUUAAGCCAGAUGCAGGGCUCUUCUGAGUACAGGGCCCUGUGUGAUGCACAGAUUGCCUGCCCAUGAAGCUGGUCCUGUGUGACCAAUACACUAUGGAGGAAGUAGUAUCUGUGACUGCUAAGGUUAGAUCAUAUAGUCAUUAUAGCUUCUGCCCUGUUCUCUUGGAUUACUUGCUGUGAGGAAGGCACCAUGUGGUAAAGCAGCUCAAACAGGAGUGCGGAAAGGUCCACUUGGGGAGGAACUGGAGCAUUUUGCCAACAGUCAGUCAUGUGAAUGAGCCACCUUGGAAAUGGAUCCUUUAGACCAUCUCAAGCCUUCAGAUGACAGGAGGCCCAGUCAAAAUCCUGACGACAAUCUAAGACUCCGAACUGGAACUGUCCAGCUUAGCAGCUUCUGAAUUCCCGACCUACAAAAACUGCCAGAGAUAAUAUAUAUAUUUGUUCUUUUAGGACACUAAGCUUUGGAAUGAUUUGUCACUCAGCAAUGGAUAACUAAAAUAAUGCUUUAAUUUACAUUUUCUUCAAUUUUAAUAAGAUUUGGCAUCUUUUUGCAUGCUUGAUGGUUAUUUAUAUCUUUCUCCUUUGCCUUGCUCAUUUAUUUUGUCCAUUUUUAUUGGAUUAUUUCUCUUUAUCUUACUGAUAUGUAAAUAGAUCUUUGUAAACCAAGAAAAUUAACCUUUUGUUGGCCAUAUGUAUUGCACAUGUUUCUCACAGUUUAUGAUUUUUGACUAUUUUUUAAUUACAGAAGUUUUAAACUUUUACUGUGGUUAAAUUAACCAGCUUUUCCCAUUAUACAUUUUAAAUUUUGCUCCAAACUUGCUAAAGGCUUUCCUCAUUCUAUAGCUAUAAAAAUGUUUAUCCAUAUUUAAUUUUAGCACUUUGAUGGUUUCGUUUUUAUAAUUAAAUUUUUUUCUUUUGAGUUUUGUUUGGUGGUGAGAGGGGGAUAUAACUCCUCCACUUCCCAAGAGUGAAAGCAUUAUAUUAUCUCAAUGAUUAAGCCAUCCUCUCCCCACUGGUAUGAAAUACCAUGUUUAUUAUAUCCCAAACUUCUGUCUAUUCUUGGGUUUAUUUCUGUACUCUCAAUUCUCUUCCAUUGAUUUGUCUAUUCCAGUACCCAUGUUACUCUUCUAUGUCUGAAUAUCUUGAACAUUUUCAUGUGUUUCAUUUUUCUAGAAUAAUUUUGGAAUCAUUUUUCAACUUAAAAUAAACAAGUGAAUCAAUAUCCCUUGAUAUUUUUAUUGCACAAGGUUGAUGAAAUCGAGUGUCCCCAUCAAAGAGUAAAGUCUGUCUUUGUAUCGGUUCAUAUCUAUGUUAUGUUGCUUUUUGAUAGGCUUUAAAAUUUUUCUUCAUUUAGGUCCCAUAUAUUUCUUAUUAACUCUGUUCCUAAUAUUUUAAAAAGCUGAAGUAUAAUUGACAUACAAUAAACUACAUACAUAGUUAAGGUAUACAAUUUGAUAAGCCUUGACAAAUAUAUAUAACUAUGAAAGAAUCAACACAAUAAAAAUGACAGCCAUAUCC